UACGUAGGGUGCGAGCGUUGUCCGGAAUUAUUGGGCGUAAAGAGCUUGUAGGCGGUUUGUCGCGUCUGCUGUGAAAAUCCGGGGCUCAACCCCGGACUUGCAGUGGGUACGGGCAGACUAGAGUGUGGUAGGGGAGACUGGAAUUCCUGGUGUAGCGGUGAAAUGCGCAGAUAUCAGGAGGAACACCGGUGGCGAAGGCGGGUCUCUGGGCCGAAACUGACGCU
RNAcentral lists this ribosomal RNA (224 nucleotides) under uncultured bacterium. RNAcentral describes it as "partial 16S ribosomal RNA". It matches the Rfam family "Bacterial small subunit ribosomal RNA", at positions 524 to 747 of the family's 1533-position model. The record is from RNAcentral.